GGCAUAUUUGAUAUAUAUCUCUAGUCAUUGUGACGUUGUUAUUUAUAUUACGUUCUGCAGUUUCUAAAUGUUCAUUCUCGUCUUUGCUCUCUCCUGAGACGAUCUCGGCUGCUAACCACCUGUACAGACUUCAAUUAUAUCUAAAACGGUGCCUUUUUUUUCAUCGCACAGUCUGAAAGUUUCAAAUCAUGAAGACCUACGUUGCUGGCUUUUUGUUAUUCCUAGUUGGCUUUCAGGCCUCACAAGUUUUUGGAGCCAGGAUUAAAAGAUCGCCGUAUGACGUGGGUCAAGAACAUUGCCCUAAACUAGACUUCGAAGAUGAGUGUAAAUUGAAUGACCCUUGUGCCCAAUCACCAUGCGCGGUAGGAGUCACAUGCCGUCCUUGUAAUGGUUGUGAAAGUUAUGAUUGUUCAUCGUUUGAUUGGAGUACUGAGAAACGAUGAAAGCUCCACGCCAUUGAUAUCCAUAGAAGUCCGCUUGUAGUUUAAAGCAAACUGU
Long non-coding RNA from Pocillopora damicornis (cauliflower coral), 498 nucleotides. The record is from RefSeq and is a predicted model, not a curated record. Lineage: Eukaryota; Metazoa; Cnidaria; Anthozoa; Scleractinia; Pocilloporidae.